UCGAAAGAUUGAUCUAGAAGCUUUGACAGAGUUUUAGCUCUUUAUGUCUGCCACAUUGACUUUCUGAUGAAUAAAGGAAAAAAUCGUAGGUGAUAAGGUGACGUUUGCAGAGCGGCGUCUAUUAAAUAUCAUACCUUUAUGUUUGAAGCUGAGACCGGCGAUAGUUUUAGUAAGGGAGGGCUCCUGCAGAGAUCAAUUCACGGACGCUAAUGUUGCCUUGAAUUAUAGUAUGAUAACCGACAGAGUGACGUUUGCAGAGCGGCGUCUAUUGAAUAUCAUACCUUUAUGUUUGAAGCUGAGACCGGCGAUAUUCCUAAGUAAUACGGCAGAUGAAGACACAAGUUUUAGUAAGGGAGGGCUCCUGCAGAGAUCAAUUCACGGACGCUAAUGUUGCCUUGAAUUAUAGUAUGAUAACCGACAGAGAUCAAGUCAAAGUCAGGCCUGCAGCGACGAGCCCCUUUCUUUCGGAUUGUGAAGUGUAAUGUUAAUGUUUAAUGUAGCUGUUUAACGUCGAAAAUUGUUAGUUUGUAAUUGUUUUUGAGAAGCAAAAUAAUUAAUCUGAGAAGUGUUUC
This is a long non-coding RNA of Bolinopsis microptera, 572 nucleotides long. RefSeq lists it as uncharacterized. Lineage: Eukaryota; Metazoa; Ctenophora; Tentaculata; Lobata; Bolinopsidae. The transcript is spliced from 4 exons. The record is from RefSeq and is a predicted model, not a curated record.